UACGUAGGGGGCAAGCGUUGUCCGGAUUUAUUGGGCGUAAAGAGCUCGUAGGCGGCUCGGUAAGUCGGAUGUGAAACCUCCAGGCUCAACCUGGAGACGCCAUCUGAUACUGCCGUGGCUUGAGUCCGGUAGAGGAGCAGGGAAUUCCUGGUGUAGCGGUGAAAUGCGCAGAUAUCAGGAGGAACACCGAUGGCGAAGGCAGGUCACUGGGCCGCAACUGACGCUGAGGAGCGAAAGCAUGGGGAGCGAACAGG
This 254-nucleotide ribosomal RNA is filed under the name uncultured bacterium. RNAcentral describes it as "partial 16S ribosomal RNA". It matches the Rfam family "Bacterial small subunit ribosomal RNA", at positions 524 to 776 of the family's 1533-position model. The record is from RNAcentral.